UACCAGGUAGUGCAAGGCAGGAAGCGC
This 27-nucleotide non-coding RNA is filed under the name Rattus norvegicus (Norway rat). The record is from RNAcentral. Lineage: Eukaryota; Metazoa; Chordata; Mammalia; Rodentia; Muridae.